AGUGAACGCUGGCGGUAGGCCUAGCACAUGCAAGUCGAACGGCAGCACAGUAAGAGCUUGCUCUUACGGGUGGCGAGUGGCGGACGGGUGAGGAAUACAUCGGAAUCUACUUUUUCGUGGGGGAUAACGUAGGGAAACUUACGCAAAUACCGCAUACGACCCACGGGUGAAAGCAGGGGAUCUUCGGACCUUGCGCGAUUGAAUGAGCCGAUGUCGGAUUAGCUAGUUGGCGGGGUAAAGGCCCACCAAGGCGACGAUCCGUAGCUGGUCUGAGAGGAUGAUCAGCCACACUGGAACUGAGACACGGUCCAGACUCCUACGGGAGGCAGCAGUGGGGAAUAUUGGACAAUGGGCGCAAGCCUGAUCCAGCCAUACCGCGUGGGUGAAGAAGGCCUUCGGGUUGUAAAGCCCUUUUGUUGGGAAAGAAAAGCAGCAGGUUAAUACCCCGCUGUUCUGACGGUACCCAAAGAAUAAGCACCGGCUAACUUCGUG
RNAcentral lists this ribosomal RNA (492 nucleotides) under uncultured bacterium. RNAcentral's name for it is "partial 16S ribosomal RNA". It matches the Rfam family "Bacterial small subunit ribosomal RNA", at positions 29 to 507 of the family's 1533-position model. The record is from RNAcentral.